AAGUCCUUAGUGACUGAGUGGCGGACGGGUGAGUAACGCGUGGGUAACCUGCCUCAUACAGGGGGAUAACAGUUAGAAAUGGCUGCUAAUACCGCAUAAGCGCACGGCAUCGCAUGAUGCAGUGUGAAAAACUCCGGUGGUAUGAGAUGGACCCGCGUUGGAUUAGCUAGUUGGCAGGGUAACGGCCUACCAAGGCGACGAUCCAUAGCCGGCCUGAGAGGGUGGACGGCCACAUUGGGACUGAGACACGGCCCAGACUCC
RNAcentral lists this ribosomal RNA (261 nucleotides) under uncultured Eubacteriales bacterium. RNAcentral describes it as "uncultured Clostridiales bacterium partial 16S ribosomal RNA". It matches the Rfam family "Bacterial small subunit ribosomal RNA", at positions 77 to 339 of the family's 1533-position model. Lineage: Bacteria; Bacillati; Bacillota; Clostridia; Eubacteriales. The record is from RNAcentral.